This is a long non-coding RNA of Gallus gallus (chicken), 3775 nucleotides long. RefSeq lists it as uncharacterized. The record is from RefSeq and is a predicted model, not a curated record. The transcript has 3 exons. NCBI's taxonomy places the organism in Eukaryota, Metazoa, Chordata, Aves, Galliformes, Phasianidae.
AUGGUGAAACUAAAGCAAGUUGAGAGAACACCAAAACAAGAUCACCGCAUGCUUAGAAAAUACAACGAAAGUGUGAAAGGAAUUGGAUGGACUUGCUUAGAAAACAAACCUCCAAACCACUGUUAAAAAGGCAAUGACCUACCACGACCACUGCAUAUAAAAAAUAAUCUUUAUUUUCAAUACAGAAAAUUUAAGUAAAAUGUAAAGAAAAUCAUUCUUACAGGGGCAGUGAAUGACUAAGACAGAUCACUGUAUCUCUCCUUUAAACACCUCUUUGGGAUGCACUGGUCUUAGGAGCACAGCCCUUCCACUGACCUUCUGUUACAGGGUCCUCCACCCAAGCAACCUUAAAUAUAGGUCUUUGGGCAUGUGCAGGAGGAAAUGCUUCACUUGUCCUGCCUGAACAUGGGAAGUUCAAGUCAUUCCCAUCUUGCCAUAAGAAGGCAAAGAAGGAGCUCUUGACUGACAUCAUGGAGCACAUGUCCCACAACCAGAAGUCUGUUACACACCAGAAAGCUUUGCUGCCACUCAGCAAGACCCAGACAGACAGACAGUUAGGCGGAGAGAAAGCUGAUGAGGUUCAGGAAGAGCAAACACAGGGUCCUGCACCUGGGGAGGAUUAACUGCACGAACCAGUUCAGAUUAGGGGCUGACCCCCUUGGAAAGGAGCUCUGCAGAUCAGGACCUGGGUGUCCUGGAGGUAAUGGGUUGGCGAUGAGUCAGCAGUGUGCCCUGGUGGCCAGGAAGGCCAAUGGUAUCCUGGAGUGCAUUAAAAGGAGUGCAGUCAGCAGGUCAAGAGAGGUGAUCCUCCUCCUCUACUGUGCCCUAGUCAGGCCUAACCUGAAGUACUGUAUCCAGGCCAAACAAAAGAGAACAAAAGGUAGAUUUAGAUUAGAUCAGACAUGAGGAAGAAAGUCCUCAUUAUGAGGGUGGUGAGGUUCUGGAACAGCUUGCCUAGAGAAGUUGUGGAUGUCCUAUUCUUAGAAGUUUUCAAGGCCAGACUAGAUGGGACUUUGGGAAGGUGGCCUGAAACUUGAUGGUCUUUAAAGUCCAUGAUUCUAUGCUCAGUGCAAGGAGGUUUCCAGUUCUGGAUUAAAAAUGUAAAAUGUGAAUAGAAUCCUUGCUGUGGUUGCACCUUUACCAGCUCUGACCCCAGAGUAACUACUGUCCCAGAACAUAGCAAAGUAACAGCAUAGGAACUUGUCAAAAAGCAUAGUGCUGGGUACUGGUAAAGGAAAGUAUGAAAGAUUGUGAACACUUUUGAGAAGCCAUAGAAAACAUAACAAUUUAUAUUGCUCCUUCAGAGAAAAUGCAAGUUACUCAAGUAUUAUAGCCCUUCAGUAACAAUCAGAAAUAUCCAGACUGGGAACCUCAGUUCUCCAUCUCAUCUAUUUUGCACACAAAAGAGUAACACUCACAAAGUUAUUCUUUUAAAAGUUUUUGUGUUGAAAAAGCUAAGAGCUGACACCUUUCAGAACAAGUCUGAACAUUUCAGUUGCGUUUCACCUCAAAAGAGUUUCCAACUGUGAACUGCACUUAUUUCAUUUACUCAGACAGGAUGACAGAGCUUUCCUAAGUAUUAAAGGAUGUUAAUACUUGUUUUGAUCCAACCUCCUUUAAGCACAGCCAUUAAUGCAGAUAAAAACUGCUCCUUUCUCCAUUCAAGACAUAGUUUAACACUGCAAUUAUCAGCUACUGUAUCCAAAGAGCUCUUGAGGUCUCAAGGUUACGGUCAAACCGAAAUGUCAUGUUCCUGGAAGAGCUGCACAGAACUCUGCACAAUCCAUACAGACAAAUACAUUUUAUGUCAAUGAACUUUGAGCAAACUUCAAAGUUCCACAGCAGAUAUAACUGCAGCAUUCAUCUGGCUCAGUCACCAUCUCCAAUCUCAAUGCAGUUCUGGCUUCUUUUGUUUGCUAACAAUCCCUUCUCUCCCCUUCCUCCAUAGUUUCCAUUAUUCUUGAUCAUUUUAUUCUUCAAUUGCAAAACAAACAAACAAACAAACAAAUGUCAAUGAUGUGGAAGGCACUGAUACCUACUCAUAACCAUUCAGCAGAAAAAUAUAAGGGCUCAGAGCAAUCAAGCUAUGCACACAGCUCACUUGUACAAUCAUCUGGUUUCCUCUGGGGGAACUUACACCUUCCUUCUUCUCUUUAGUUAUGAAAACAUAUUGCAUUUCCUUUUAAAUUACACUGUAAGCCCUUUGAGGCACAGAUUGUUUUGCAAAAUGCUGUAGAAUGGUAGCCCACUGCCACAACCCUGUGUGAGCCCCCUGGACGCUGCUGUAAUAAAAAGAACAUAUUAUUUCUCCUCAUCUCUUGCCUUAUUUUAGAGAGUUUCUUUCUCUUUUGGGCUUCUGCAAAUAACUAAGGAAAAAAAAAAAACAACAGUUCAAAAGAAAAAAAACAAGUGCACCUCAGCUGACUGUGGCAAUAAAGAAGAUAAAAAUAUGCUAUUGUAACUUGAACCAGGUAAUAGCAGGGCUGUUUUCAUCUCUUGCAUCUUCCUUCCAAUUCUCUUUAUCAUUUUAGGUAUCUUGUAAAUAGCUUCACCACAAAUGCAAACUCAAGUAUGCGAAUUGCCCUAUUAAUUUUAAUGGCAUCAGAUCACAUAUUUCUAGUUACAGAGAUGCUAUACGGACACUCCCUCCCUCCCCAAUUUUCACAUGGCUCUGAGUAAGGGGUCAGCAGUUUGCAGGUUUGAGUACUGAACUCUAAAUAAUGAAUUAUCAUUUUGCUACAAAAUCUACCUUGACCAGUAGUAGUGGUGCAUUGGUAACAAGCUGAAAAAAACAAAACGUUUUUUGUAAUAAGCCAUGAAAUAAAAUAAGUAUUCUGAAGUUAAUAAAACCCAGAAUCAAGACUGUAUCUCUCAUUCCACCUUCAUGCCAAUCUUAAACUACAUUUAGUCAUGUAACUUCUUCUAUUGAGUCCUUCCUCAUUCAAAGUAGGUAACAGAUUAUACCGAUAAUUUUCACUACACACUACCCCACUUUUUUUUUUUUUUUUUUAUUCUCAUCAGUAAAUGGAGUUCUCAGGGGUGUAUAAUCCUUACUUUGCUUCUACUGUAUAUGCAUAUGCCAUAAACACUCCAUCAUGAGGACUUCUGAACUGCAGUGUUCCAGCAGACGUGGAAGAAAGGCAAAUCAAGGAGGGAGGAACAUUAACAUGCACUCAACUGCUCUGUUACAGGACAACCUGAAGCAAGUCCUGGACUACACAGUAGCAGCACCCAAGUGACAAGACACCACUCAUCUAGGAGCUUCUACUGUCUCCACAUUGCAGAGGCACGACUGAAGCUGGAGACAACUGCUGAGCAUGUAGAACUGAGAACUGACACAGCGCCCCCAUAAGCAACUUCUAAUUUGAGGUGACCAAGCUGAGAGACCUUCCAGCUUCGAGUUGGACAAGAAGGGCACUGUCAGACAGACUUAGCUUUAGGCAUGUUAUAAAGAAGGAUUUUUUUUUAAAUCACAUUAAAAAUGCUUGGCAAAGAAAAGGAUGUGGGGAAGAAAACUAGUAUAUAGCUGCGCUGGUUGUGAUGAAAAUCUGAUAUGAGUUAGCAGAAACUGCAACCUGAUGGGCUUUAUCUAACACUUGUCCCUACCUCUGGUUUCCUGUGGCAUUCACCACUACAACUGGGAAGUUCCUAAAUAUUAAUGCAUCACCUUGUCCCUACGAAGCGACAGGACUGUUUUAUCACCAUAGGCAUGCAUGGCACAGCACAGAAGGAGUAUGUUAACUAACAAACUGUAAGAUUCAGAGAACUAAUCUGA